UUCGUCAUCAACAAAGCGUCGUCGUCGCUAGUUACGACUGGAAAAAAAAACUUCACCGCCCGAAGACAUGAUUGCUUCGAUGCAUCAUGCGUGCUCUUCGCGAAGAUCAGAAAACCAUUCGCACGAGCAGCUUCGUGAACGGCACCCGCUGCACGGCAUUCUAGCUAACAUGGUACCCUGGUAUCUGCUAAAUAAAAAUGGUCAUGUUUUUGCCAUUUUAUCGCCAAUUCUAGCAAUCUUGGGCUAAUUCGAUUCAAAAAAUCACCUUCUACUGAGUGGGGGAGCCGGAGCGGUCACCGAGGAUUGCGGAAAAUCCGGAUUUCGGCGUAGAAUUUUAAUGCCUGAUGCCAGGUCUUUCCCAACCAGAUUAACCGCAACGCAACUGUCAAAAUGCACUCGCAACGAAGAGGACGAUGAACGAAUGGAAGUCGCAUGUGGUCUGCACAAAUGAUCAACUUACUUCCUCGUUCACUGCUCCCAUUGACUUGCUAGAGUGUUCUUCGCGAAGCAUAAAUGAAAAAACGAAUGCUUGUGAAUAAUGGAUCGCGAAGAUGCGAAAAUGAAUGCUCGCGAGGAAGAUCCAACGCAACAUUGCGUUUUCCCUUCCCAUUCACCCGGCGGUGAGCCUGCAGUGACUGUGUAUAUGUGUGCCUCUGUUCCGUCGGAGUCGGCGUAGGCGUGCAGCUGGAGAACGUGUUGAAACGUGUUUGGCGUCGUUUCCUCGGUCGGCACUCACUCGGUCGAGACGAGUGGUGAAAAUCGUUUCUGCUGCGACAAAGUGAAGUUGCGGCGGCGGUGCUGUUGGCGGUCCCCCUUACCGCAUAUCACGAUACCCAGGAGUGUUCCCGGGAGUUAUUCAGGAAUUAAUUUCCAUUUUUUAAUCGGCGGCACUCCUGGUGUAUCAAUGUCGGUGAGCGAGCGACAGGGCCCACACAGCAACUAGAGUUCAAGAGCAAAUUUUCAAUCCGACCUAAGUAACAAAAUAAACAAAAAUUAGGUUCUUGCAUAUAUUAAUACCUAGUAAACUACUUUACGCUGUGUAGCAAGAUCACAAGUCAAAAAUAGUUAAAAACUUUCGAAAUUAAAAAAAAUCAAACUGACUUAAGUAACAAAGUGAGCACUUUUCAUAUGUGUCGCUUUGUCGGUACAAUGACUCAUGUAACGCACAUAACUCACGACUGACGUAAGUACGCUGUCAAAACGACCUAAGUAACAAAAUAUGUAAACAGGUCUCAAAAAGUGGUUACGUCGAUAAAUAAAACAUCGGAAUAUCAUCGGGGAAACCCAAUCCCGUUGGAUUUUAGUAGUGCUACCAUAAACUAGGGGUUACUAAGGAACUCCCAGCCCGAAAAGCGGCGCUUCCGGCAAUAAUUCAGUACUGCGAUCUUGAUUGCGAUUGAUAAGCUCAAGUGGAAUGAUAGUUCCACAUCAACUACAUCAAGCUGGAAUUGCUAUACAAUAAUCCGGAGACUUUUCUCGGCGCAGUAAGACCAGUGGUCUGAGAUCACCUGCCAAGCAGCGGUUCCAUCGAUUCGGCCUCGUUAGCUGCAACGGCAUCUCUGGCAACAUAUUUUUUUUCUCAGCCGCUUCCAUCGUAGCAGUAACACAGCAAGAACUUAGCUGACCAUACAGAACAAAAAGCGCGUCAGCAGUAGCUCUUUCUCGUAGCGUCUUCAACUUCUAGGACCAUGUGUAUGAGAGGACGGAACAAGGAUCAGUCAGCGACGACUGCUGAAGACGACCUGAGAUCGAACGAACCGUCUGAUCAUUCCUCCAGCAUGGAACCAACCCCAACGGUAGGCAGGAAACGUUAGAACCUCCAUGUCGAACAAUUCCCCUUCGAUUCCAAAAAUCAUCCGAAGCGGGAGAAACCUGCUCCAAAGAAGCAAGUUCCCCAACGAAUGGUGGCCCAGCAGCAGGCGAUUUUGCAGCAACAGCGACAUCACAAGGCGCAGAUUUUGGUCCAGCAGUAAGCCCAAUAACAGCAGUUCCAUCAGCAGCAUCAGCAAAUGUAACAAUCGUCGCACCGCCAGCAGCAUCAACACCUGGAAGACCAUCU
Long non-coding RNA from Aedes albopictus (Asian tiger mosquito), 2059 nucleotides. RefSeq lists it as uncharacterized. The record is from RefSeq and is a predicted model, not a curated record. The transcript has 3 exons. Lineage: Eukaryota; Metazoa; Arthropoda; Insecta; Diptera; Culicidae.